This 460-nucleotide ribosomal RNA is filed under the name uncultured bacterium. RNAcentral describes it as "partial 16S ribosomal RNA". It matches the Rfam family "Bacterial small subunit ribosomal RNA", at positions 338 to 795 of the family's 1533-position model. The record is from RNAcentral.
CCUACGGGAGGCAGCAGUGAGGAAUAUUGGUCAAUGGGCGUAAGCCUGAACCAGCCAAGUCGCGUGAGGGAUGAAGGUUCUAUGGUUCGUAAACCUCUUUUAUAAGGGAAUAAAGUGCGGGACGUGUCCCGUUUUGUAUGUACCUUAUGAAUAAGGAUCGGCUAACUCCGUGCCAGCAGCCGCGGUAAUACGGAGGAUCCGAGCGUUAUCCGGAUUUAUUGGGUUUAAAGGGAGCGUAGGUGGAUUGUUAAGUCAGUGGUGAAAGUUUGCGGCUCAACCGUAAAAUUGCAGUUGAAACUGGCAGUCUUGAGUAUGGUAGAGGUAGGCGGAAUGCGUGGUGUAGCGGUGAAAUGCAUAGAUAUCACGCAGAACUCCGAUUGCGAAGGCAGCAUACCGGCGCGUGACUGACGCUCAUGCACGAAAGCGUGGGUAUCGAACAGGAUUAGAUACCCGGGUAGUC